UGACCCAUUUCGCUCUCCCAUUGGCCCGCCGCAAGUCCAACCAUUGGCCCACGGUACCUGUCCGUUUCCGGGAGCUCAGCACCUCCCGGCAGGAGGAAGCUCCCACCUCCUUGGGUGCGCGAGGAGGUGGGUCCUGAAAGGAAAUGGAGCACUGUGCUCUGCUGCACAUGCCCAAGGGCAGAACUGCACAGAUGGCUGGAGCAAGCAUCAAGGACCUUCUGACUACUACCUAAGGCUGCCUCUUACUAGACUGGUUGUACCAAGAAUCAAAUGAGAUUAUGGAUAUCAAGUAUUCUUAAAGCACUGUGAGCAACUCCUAUAAGCCGAAUCUACAUGGUGAUGGAAGUUCUCCCCCCAACUCCCAGGGAGCCAUUUGGGCUCCAAUUGAUUGAGCCAGGUGAGAGCUCCUGGCCCAGGCUGGGUCAGUUAGAAUCUGGCC
Molecule: long non-coding RNA, 439 nt
Organism: Loxodonta africana (African savanna elephant)
Lineage: Eukaryota; Metazoa; Chordata; Mammalia; Proboscidea; Elephantidae
Exons: 4
Source: RefSeq, a predicted model, not a curated record